UGGUACUUCAUUAGCUGCCCAAAGUGUUGGU
This 31-nucleotide non-coding RNA is filed under the name Homo sapiens (human). The record is from RNAcentral. Lineage: Eukaryota; Metazoa; Chordata; Mammalia; Primates; Hominidae.